RNAcentral lists this ribosomal RNA (1398 nucleotides) under uncultured bacterium. RNAcentral describes it as "bacterial SSU rRNA". It matches the Rfam family "Bacterial small subunit ribosomal RNA". The record is from RNAcentral.
AGAGUUUGAUCCUGGCUCAGGAUGAACGCUAGCUACAGGCUUAACACAUGCAAGUCGAGGGGCAGCAUGGUCUUAGCUUGCUAAGGCCGAUGGCGACCGGCGCACGGGUGAGUAACACGUAUCCAACCUGCCGUCUACUCUUGGACAGCCUUCUGAAAGGAAGAUUAAUACAAGAUGGCAUCAUGAGUCCGCAUGUUCACAUGAUUAAAGGUAUUCCGGUAGACGAUGGGGAUGCGUUCCAUUAGAUAGUAGGCGGGGUAACGGCCCACCUAGUCUUCGAUGGAUAGGGGUUCUGAGAGGAAGGUCCCCCACAUUGGAACUGAGACACGGUCCAAACUCCUACGGGAGGCAGCAGUGAGGAAUAUUGGUCAAUGGGCGAGAGCCUGAACCAGCCAAGUAGCGUGAAGGAUGACUGCCCUAUGGGUUGUAAACUUCUUUUAUAAAGGAAUAAAGUCGGGUAUGGAUACCCGUUUGCAUGUACUUUAUGAAUAAGGAUCGGCUAACUCCGUGCCAGCAGCCGCGGUAAUACGGAGGAUCCGAGCGUUAUCCGGAUUUAUUGGGUUUAAAGGGAGCGUAGAUGGAUGUUUAAGUCAGUUGUGAAAGUUUGCGGCUCAACCGUAAAAUUGCAGUUGAUACUGGAUAUCUUGAGUGCAGUUGAGGCAGGCGGAAUUCGUGGUGUAGCGGUGAAAUGCUUAGAUAUCACGAAGAACUCCGAUUGCGAAGGCAGCCUGCUAAGCUGCAACUGACAUUGAGGCUCGAAAGUGUGGGUAUCAAACAGGAUUAGAUACCCUGGUAGUCCACACGGUAAACGAUGAAUACUCGCUGUUUGCGAUAUACGGCAAGCGGCCAAGCGAAAGCGUUAAGUAUUCCACCUGGGGAGUACGCCGGCAACGGUGAAACUCAAAGGAAUUGACGGGGGCCCGCACAAGCGGAGGAACAUGUGGUUUAAUUCGAUGAUACGCGAGGAACCUUACCCGGGCUUAAAUUGCAGAUGAAUUACGGUGAAAGCCGUAAGCCGCAAGGCAUCUGUGAAGGUGCUGCAUGGUUGUCGUCAGCUCGUGCCGUGAGGUGUCGGCUUAAGUGCCAUAACGAGCGCAACCCUUGUUGUCAGUUACUAACAGGUCAUGCUGAGGACUCUGACAAGACUGCCAUCGUAAGAUGUGAGGAAGGUGGGGAUGACGUCAAAUCAGCACGGCCCUUACGUCCGGGGCUACACACGUGUUACAAUGGGGGGUACAGAGGGCCGCUACCACGCGAGUGGAUGCCAAUCCCCAAAACCUCUCUCAGUUCGGACUGGAGUCUGCAACCCGACUCCACGAAGCUGGAUUCGCUAGUAAUCGCGCAUCAGCCACGGCGCGGUGAAUACGUUCCCGGGCCUUGCACACACCGCCCGUCAAG